AUUAGUGUCUAUAAUUGUGAAAUAGCCAGCGAAUACAAACUUUAAGUUUUGUUGUUUGCAUUUUUUUCUGGCUACCUCGCACCAUUUCAGCCUUGGAUUAGCAUAAUCAACAUUUCUAAGCAGAAAUAUUAGGCAUAAAUUGAGAGUAAAGAAUUGUUUAUGUUUAAAAUAAACAGCUAGCGCAAUGCAGAUAAAAACUAAACAGAAAAAUAGUUUAAGAAAUUUUAAUUAGGAAUAACAAACUUAAAAAUGCAAUUAUUGACUAUGUAAAACAAAACAAUACAAUUAUAAGCAGUAUAUAACGACUAAAAUACUCGAACAAAUCAAUAUAUAUAUAUAUAUAUAUGUUUAUAUCAACAAUCAUAAGUUUAACGAAAGUAACAAACAAGGAAUAAGAAAAAUGUGAACAUACACAGUGAUUACAAAAGAAACUUAUGCAGGUUUGUAAAUAAAAAUGGAAAAAAAGCAUGUUUGGACUUACCAUCGCUCAAUACUACUUCGGCUUGGCUUGGAAUUGGCGCUUGUUGGGUUUCUAUUCUCAUCACUUGAUGUUCUAGAAAUAAGUAAUAAAAUUUGUUUUCUUAUUUGCUUAAACUUGUAAAUAGUCAGUGCAUGAAUGCAAUUGCAAGAGGUUAGGCCAGUGCAGAAUAAAAAAAUAUAAAUAAAAUAUGUUUUGGCUUAAAGUACACUAUAGUCCAAUAAAUAUUAUACAACUGGUUGAAGAGCUACAACUAAUCUUUUCCCCGCGCAAUCAGCUAUAGCGUGGAUGCGUUUGGGCCAGCCAUGUGAAGUAUGAUUCCAUAACUCGUUUUCAUUUUGCCAUAUGAAGCACGGAUUCCUAGAAUCGUCGUCGCUGUACAGAAAAGGGGCUAUCCGACAGAAAGAGCUGACCAUUCUGUGAACCUGCCUGUUGUUCUUUUGGCACUGAAACACCAUAAAGCUGUUGGUGAAUACUGAAGAAAUGCUUCAAAUCGAAUACUUAGACCCGAUUGUCAUUGGAGCGGUCCGCAAAUUCUUCAUUUGUGUAGUAAAAGUAUUGUUUAAUAAUAUAUAAGUAAUACAUUUUUCAUUAUCGCAUCGCUAUACGCAUGUUAGUAAUUAAAAACGUUGUACAACUAACAUAACAAUGGCCACUAUUUUCUCUACAUUUUUAGCAUUCCCAACAUUUUCUCAAAUGCACUUCUUAUCUCACCUGAAACAUCUUCUGGUUCUGAUUGACUAACUGCGGCAGUUGCGAUUGUUAUUUGUUUCGUCUGUGGUGGUGCUGAGAUUGGCAUCGAACUCAGUGGCUCCGAUUCGGAGAAAUCAGUAUCAGUAUCUAUGCAGGGAGGAAACAAUGUAUAUUUAUAGUGCAUGCAAAUCCAAACCUAACAUCUCAGAGAUGCACUUACAUUCACCAUGAAUGCUCUUCUUCUUACGCUCUACCGUGCGUUUGUAUUCGUUCAAUUCAUCAUCGGUGACAUUAUCGAAUGGAUUUUUAGCAUAUGGUGCCUUAUAAACAGCUGCAUUAUGUUGAUAGCCACGUUGUAUGAUACCCUUAGAGGCUGCGCCCAUUAACACAACAUGAUCACCAGCCGAUGAAACGGUCGCAUCCUUAAUACGAUUGGCCUCAUCCCAUGUAACACCCUCGAGGAUGUGUGAUUGCGGACCGGCGGAUAUUUUAUCAGCCCGGCGAUUGUCUUUGAUCUAGAGUAGAAAACAAGUUUUAAUUGUAUAAUUUCUUGUAGUUACCACUUAUAAUUGUAAUGUCUUACUUGUUGUUGUAAGCGCCUGAACUCUUUUGGAUUUGUUCCCGCUGGCACAAAUUGCAAGGGAUCUUCGAUGCGUACUGGUGUCGAGUGUGUUGGUGACCCUUCGGCUACCCACUAACAACGGCAACAUUGUGUGGUGACAAACAUAACGCAGAACAUGCGAUGGUAGGAAUUGGAGGCAUUUUGGAAUUGGUUGGAGUAGAAGUGGUGGUCGAGAAUUUUUCGUAAUAUGCACAAAAAGCGUACAGGGAAAUGACGAAUUUAGGAUUUGAGGCAGCGCAAUGUGGCGUACAUUUGCAGUUUGAAAAAGGAUAUGCAAUGAAAGUAGAAA
Bactrocera oleae (olive fruit fly) is the source of this 2082-nucleotide long non-coding RNA. RefSeq lists it as uncharacterized. The record is from RefSeq and is a predicted model, not a curated record. NCBI's taxonomy places the organism in Eukaryota, Metazoa, Arthropoda, Insecta, Diptera, Tephritidae.